RNAcentral lists this ribosomal RNA (466 nucleotides) under Vreelandella stevensii. RNAcentral's name for it is "partial 16S ribosomal RNA". It matches the Rfam family "Bacterial small subunit ribosomal RNA", at positions 338 to 795 of the family's 1533-position model. Lineage: Bacteria; Pseudomonadati; Pseudomonadota; Gammaproteobacteria; Oceanospirillales; Halomonadaceae. The record is from RNAcentral.
CCUACGGUGGGCUGCAGUGGGGAAUAUUGGACAAUGGGCGAAAGCCUGAUCCAGCCAUGCCGCGUGUGUGAAGAAGGCCUUCGGGUUGUAAAGCACUUUCAGUGGGGAAGAAAGCCUUGGGGCUAAUACCCUCGAGGAAGGACAUCACCCACAGAAGAAGCACCGGCUAACUCCGUGCCAGCAGCCGCGGUAAUACAGGAGGGUGCGAGCGUUAAUCGGAAUUACUGGGCGUAAAGCGCGCGUAGGCGGUCUGAUAAGCCGGUUGUGAAAGCCCCGGGCUCAACCUGGGAACGGCAUCCGGAACUGUCAGGCUAGAGUGCAGGAGAGGAAGGUAGAAUUCCCGGUGUAGCGGUGAAAUGCGUAGAGAUCGGGAGGAAUACCAGUGGCGAAGGCGGCCUUCUGGACUGACACUGACGCUGAGGUGCGAAAGCGUGGGUAGCAAACAGGAUUAGAUACCCGAGUAGUC